ACCUACGGGGGGCAGCAGUGGGGAAUAUUGCACAAUGGGGGGAACCCUGAUGCAGCGACGCCGCGUGAGUGAUGAAGUAUUUCGGUAUGUAAAGCUCUAUCAGCAGGGAAGAUAAUGACGGUACCUGACUAAGAAGCUCCGGCUAAAUACGUGCCAGCAGCCGCGGUAAUACGUAUGGAGCAAGCGUUAUCCGGAUUUACUGGGUGUAAAGGGAGCGUAGGCGGCCUGGCAAGCCUGAUGUGAAAUACCGGGGCCCAACCCCGGGGCUGCAUUGGGAACUGCCAGGCUGGAGUGCCGGAGAGGCG
Molecule: ribosomal RNA, 305 nt
Filed under: uncultured bacterium
Lineage: Bacteria
Description: bacterial SSU rRNA
Rfam family: Bacterial small subunit ribosomal RNA
Source: RNAcentral